AAGUCGUAACAAGGUUUCCGUAGGUGAACCUGCGGAAGGAUCAUUACUGAAUUGUCAACACGAGUUGUUGCUGGUCCUCAAAUGGGGGCAUGUGCACACUCUGUUUACACAUCCACUCACACCUGUGCACCCUCUGUAGUUCUGUGUUUGGGGGGACUCUGUCCUCCUGGCAUGGUCCUAUAUCUUUACACACACUCUGUAUUGAAGUCUUAUGGAAUGUAUACCGCGUUUAACGCAAUACAAUACAACUUUCAGCAACGGAUCUCUUGGCUCUC
Molecule: unclassified non-coding RNA, 275 nt
Filed under: Tomentella lilacinogrisea
Lineage: Eukaryota; Fungi; Basidiomycota; Agaricomycetes; Thelephorales; Thelephoraceae
Description: partial internal transcribed spacer region
Rfam family: Eukaryotic small subunit ribosomal RNA (bases 1-46)
Source: RNAcentral